CAUGAGUAAAUAUAUGCGGUUUAAUUAAAGCAGCAGAGGGACGACAUGCGCGUCGAUGUACCUACUUUCUACUUUUUCUUCAUUUGUCUUUACAUCCUGUUCAUCAUGAGAACAUGUUAAUGGAUUCUGACAUGAGCGGCGUCUGUCUGCCUGAGUCCUUUAGUUGUUUGUAGCCUUUCAAGUCAUUGUUUGCUCGUUCCGUUGAUCUAAAUUGAUCCUGUGUGUGUGUGUGUGUGUGUGUGUGUGUGUGUGUGUGUGUGUGUGUUAAAUCAUCAUUGUACAUCAUUUUCUUCCCCCGAGAUUAAACCUUUCUCUUUAAGAUAAAGAAUUUAAGUCCUAAAACCUCAAGAUUUUUCUAAUAAACAUUUCAGUGCUGCAUCGACCGCGUUCGUUUCUGUUCUGUAUUGCAGGAAAUGCAGAAGAGCUUUGAUGAGAAGAACAUUGCGAUGCUGCAGGAAGCCAUCGGGAAGAUGCACAUGGAGGUGAGCGUGUCCGCUGAAUAAGAGGAGGAUGCAUGCUGAUCGGAUCCGAUUACGUUCACUUGAUUCUUUGUGUUGAACUCGUGUCGCUCUGUUUGUCCUUUACGGGAGGGAAAAUACUACCUGCAGAGGUGCAUCGACUCCGGACUGUGGGUCCCUGAGUCAGUGGGGGGGGGGGUGACGAAGUAGAAGCAGAUGAAGGAGACGAUUAAUAAAAGAGUGAACAUGUUAGUCGACAAAGUAACGCUUUAAACGUAUUUAAUAAGCAUAUGAUCUAAACCAGCGUGUGGUAUAAAACGCGUUAAAUGGGAGAAAAGCUUAUGAAGUUUUCAAACAAAAGCACCUCAACUUUUUUUUAUUUUUCAAUUGAAGCUACUUUGGUGCCACCAAGGAAACAAAAUGAUGAAAACCCACUUAGUCACUCUGAAUAUCACGUCGUUAGAAACCUGAUUUGAUAUGAAUCAUUAAUUAAUUCAAACAAGCUCUCACUUUAGAGCCGUCGCAAAAGCAGCCACUUCUUCAGAUUUUUAUUUUAGUUCUUUGGCAUUUGACGAUCUUGACAUCCCAGUUGGCCGCUUGGUCUUCAUUCAAUUUAUUUAUUUAUAUAAAUCCGUCUUCCUUCUCUUCACACCUUUUUCACAAUGAAGUCUGCAGCUUACGGGAUUAAAACACCUUGGACACAAAAAACAAAAGAUGCACCCAAAAACAAAUCAUCCAAACGAUCUGCUUUCUGUGGCAGUUCCUUCUGUGGUCAACGGCGCCACCUUGAGGCCGUAGGCCGCAUCAGAGGCCUGGACCAUGAACCUUUGACCACCGUCUAUUAUGCUGUGCAAACUACAAAAACUUAUUACUUAUCAACUUUUGUAAAAAAUAAAUAAAAAUAAAAUAGAAGUCCAAUGUUUUUGAUCUUUUGUGUAGAAAAAUAAAGUUGUGUUGUAACGAUCACGUCUUUGUAACUUAAACACAUGAAUGCUGACGUCCUCCUCAGGAAAUAAUUAUAGAUUUAAUUAUAAGCUCCACACGGCUACACUAUGAAUGUAUUUCUUGUUUUAGUAAGCGUGAGCUGAAUAACGUUGACAUGAGUCAGUCCAAGUAAAAUACUUUGUCUAAUUGUUUCUUUGUCCUUUUAUUGGUUUUAUUUUGUAUUUAAAGAACACAUUUGUGUUUGUGCAAUAAACCUUUUGUGUUGUCUACAAA
This is a long non-coding RNA of Gasterosteus aculeatus aculeatus (three-spined stickleback), 1676 nucleotides long. NCBI's taxonomy places the organism in Eukaryota, Metazoa, Chordata, Actinopteri, Perciformes, Gasterosteidae. The record is from Ensembl.